This 107-nucleotide small RNA is filed under the name Marmota monax (woodchuck). Lineage: Eukaryota; Metazoa; Chordata; Mammalia; Rodentia; Sciuridae. The record is from RNAcentral.
GUUGGGCAUGGUGUCACAUGCCUGUAAUUCCAGCUACUUGGGAGGCUGAGACAGGAGGAUGGCAAGCUCAAGGCCAAUCACAGCAAUUUAGCAAGACCCUGCCUCAG